RNAcentral lists this ribosomal RNA (421 nucleotides) under uncultured bacterium. RNAcentral's name for it is "bacterial SSU rRNA". It matches the Rfam family "Bacterial small subunit ribosomal RNA", at positions 356 to 773 of the family's 1533-position model. The record is from RNAcentral.
AGGGAAUAUUGGACAAUGGGCGGAAGCCUGAUCCAGCCAUGCCGCGUGGAGGAAGACGGCCCUCUGGGUUGUAAACUCCUUUUGGAAGGGAAGAAACCUCUCUAUUUAUGGAUGAGCUGACGGUACCUUUCGAAUAAGCACCGGCUAACUCCGUGCCAGCAGCCGCGGUAAUACGGAGGGUGCAAGCGUUAUCCGGAUUUACUGGGUUUAAAGGGUGCGUAGGCGGUUUUUUAAGUCAGUGGUGAAAUACCCGUGCUCAACAUGGGAAUUGCCAUUGAUACUGAGGAACUUGAAUAUGAGUGAGGCAGGCGGAAUGAUGCAUGUAGCGGUGAAAUGCUUAGAUAUGUUUCAGAACACCUAUUGCGAAGGCAGCUUGCUAAUUCAUGAUUGACGCUGAGGCACGAAAGCGUGGGGAGCAAAC